RNAcentral lists this ribosomal RNA (493 nucleotides) under uncultured bacterium. RNAcentral's name for it is "bacterial SSU rRNA". It matches the Rfam family "Bacterial small subunit ribosomal RNA", at positions 36 to 524 of the family's 1533-position model. The record is from RNAcentral.
CUGGCGGCGGCCUACACAUGNCAGUCGAGCGGCAGCACGGGUACUUGUACCUGGUGGCGAGCGGCGGACGGGUGAGUAAUGCCUAGGAAUCUGCCUGGUAGUGGGGGAUAACGCUCGGAAACGGACGCUAAUACCGCAUACGUCCUACGGGAGAAAGCAGGGGACCUUCGGGCCUUGCGCUAUCAGAUGAGCCUAGGUCGGAUUAGCUAGUUGGUGAGGUAAUGGCUCACCAAGGCGACGAUCCGUAACUGGUCUGAGAGGAUGAUCAGUCACACUGGAACUGAGACACGGUCCAGACUCCUACGGGAGGCAGCAGUGGGGAAUAUUGGACAAUGGGCGAAAGCCUGAUCCAGCCAUGCCGCGUGUGUGAAGAAGGUCUUCGGAUUGUAAAGCACUUUAAGUUGGGAGGAAGGGCAGUUACCUAAUACGUGAUUGUUUUGACGUUACCGACAGAAUAAGCACCGGCUAACUCUGUGCCAGCAGCCGCGGUAAU